UACGUAGGGUGCGAGCGUUUUCCGGAAUUACUGGGCGUAAAGGGCUCGUAGGUGGCCAACUAAGUCAGACGUGAAAUCCCUCAGCUUAACUGGGGAACUGCGUCUGAUACUGGAUGGCUUGAGAUUGGGAGAGGGAUGCGGAAUUCCAGGUGUAGCGGUGAAAUGCGUAGAUAUCGUAAGGAAGACCAGUGGCGAAGGCGGGUCUCUGGACAGUUCCUGACGCUGAGGCACGAAGGUCAGGGGAGCAAACGGG
Molecule: ribosomal RNA, 253 nt
Filed under: uncultured bacterium
Lineage: Bacteria
Description: partial 16S ribosomal RNA
Rfam family: Bacterial small subunit ribosomal RNA
Source: RNAcentral